CCUACGGGUGGCAGCAGUGGGGGAUAUUGCACAAUGGGGGGAACCCUGAUGCAGCGACGCCGCGUGGGUGAAGAAGCGCCUCGGCGCGUAAAGCCCUGUCAGCAGGGAAGAAAAUGACGGUACCUGACGAAGAAGCCCCGGCUAACUACGUGCCAGCAGCCGCGGUAAUACGUAGGGGGCAAGCGUUAUCCGGAUUUACUGGGUGUAAAGGGGGCGCAGACGGCGAUGCAAGCCAGGAGUGAAAGCCCGGGGCCCAACCCCGGGACUGCUCUUGGAACUGCGUGGCUGGAGUGCAGGAGGGGCAGGCGGAAUUCCUAGUGUAGCGGUGAAAGGCGUAGAUAUUAGGAGGAACACCAGUGGCGAAGGCGGCCUGCUGGGCUUUAACUGACGCUGAGGCUCGAAAGCGUGGGGAGCAAACAGGAUUAGAUACCCCAGUAGUC
RNAcentral lists this ribosomal RNA (440 nucleotides) under uncultured bacterium. Its description in RNAcentral is "partial 16S ribosomal RNA". It matches the Rfam family "Bacterial small subunit ribosomal RNA", at positions 338 to 795 of the family's 1533-position model. The record is from RNAcentral.